AGACGUCUACAUUAGACUACCCCUGUACGUCCCAGCCCUAAACGAUGCGCGUUAGGUGUAUCGGUGACCACGAGUCACCGAGGUGCCGAAGGGAAACCGUGAAACGUGCCGCCGUGGGAAGUACGGUCGCAAGGCUAGAAACUUAAAGGAAUUGGCGGGGGAGCACCACAACGGGUGGAGCCUGCGGUUUAAUUGGACUCAACGCCGGGAAGCUCACCGGAUAAGACAGCGGAAUGAUUGCCGGGCUGAAGACCCUGCAUGACCAGCUG
This 269-nucleotide ribosomal RNA is filed under the name uncultured archaeon. RNAcentral's name for it is "partial 16S ribosomal RNA". It matches the Rfam family "Archaeal small subunit ribosomal RNA", at positions 717 to 982 of the family's 1478-position model. The record is from RNAcentral.